This 452-nucleotide long non-coding RNA is filed under the name Mustela putorius furo (domestic ferret). RNAcentral describes it as "lncRNA (ENSMPUG00000026808.1)". The record is from RNAcentral. Lineage: Eukaryota; Metazoa; Chordata; Mammalia; Carnivora; Mustelidae.
GGACAAGCCCAGCAGCUCUCCAUUGUAAGAUAGAAAUGAUACAUCUGGGGUCCAGCCCAAGCAGAGCCAGAAGGCCAAGAAAAAAAAAGGCCCACCGGAAUGCUGGAGUUGCUGCUUGCAGAACUUAUAAAAAGAAAUGGAUCUAAGUGGUACAAGGGAUGGACCAUAACAGAUGCUGUGAUAUGCCAUCUGGCUCAUGCUUCAAGACCAAAGGACUUAUUCCCCCAAGUUCCUGGGAGUUCUGCUGGUCAUUGACCUUCAGCAAUCAGCACUUUUUUUGGAAGAUGAGAUUUGACACAGAAAGGUAUGGAGGCAAGACCAUGAGAAGAUAUAGCAAGAAGGUACAAACCAAGGAGAGAGGCCUCAGGAGAAACCAAUGCUGCAACCACCCUGACCUCAGACUUCUAGUCUCCAGAAUAACGUGGGACCUCCAGGCUUCCUCCACAGACUAG